RNAcentral lists this long non-coding RNA (1440 nucleotides) under Cricetulus griseus (Chinese hamster). RNAcentral's name for it is "lncRNA (ENSCGRG00015042094.1)". Lineage: Eukaryota; Metazoa; Chordata; Mammalia; Rodentia; Cricetidae. The record is from RNAcentral.
UGUGGGCAUACUAUUUUAAUUGUGUAAGUGCCAAUUUUAGUUCAAACACAAAUGGACUAUGAACUUCAUUAAUCAUCAAAAUUAACCCCAUUCUCCUUGUGUUAAAACAAAAGACUUAAAACCUGUCGAUUACAAACUACUACAUGAAAACAAUUUCGUGCUAUAACAGAAAUGUGGAAAUUAUACAAAAUGAUCUAGUCAAGACUUCAAAAUUUUGAGGAAUGCCACUGACAGUCACUAAACAUAUUUGAGGGGAAGAGUCACCCAAGAAUGGGAAAGAGGAGCUGCAAGAGAGAAUCCUAUUAUGCAAGUAUGGGGUUGUGACUAGAAGGAGAAAGAACUGGGGUAGAAGAUCUCAACAACAAGAAAAAGCUUUGGGCUGUUGUGGGUAUUCUAGCCUAGGCCCCCAGGAUGCUGCUGUUCUUUCACAGAAGUGCCUCGGCCCUCCCUCAGCUGCCCUUUCUGCCCAUGGGAGCAGAUGGCUUUACUUUUCAUCACCAGCAAAGAACCUUGCACUUCAUGGAGUUCUACAUUGAUGGAGUAUUUCUAAAACAGCAUCUUACCAUGUUGAGAAAGUGCCCGGGCUACAUAAGCAAGCAAAUUCUUCACAUGUUUUUAAGUUGAUCGAACACAUACAAAACCAGGACAGUUUCAACUGAUAGAACCAAAGCUGCUUCAACAGGACUGGCCAAAAGGAAAACUUCCAAGUGGGUGAAGGGUGUCGACUUAAUGCAACAAGCAUUUGUUGAUCUAUCUCUCUCAUUAGGGGUUCUAGUUACUCAACAGAAGGAUUAGCUUUCCAGUGCAAUUAAAAACAGACACUCUGCAAGUAACUGGCUUGUACACUUUCCUCAAAUUACUCUCAGUCUAUGCAGAAAAAGAGGCAGAUAAAGUAAACACACAACCUAAAAGAGAUAUUAAAUAUGCGUGUGUUCUGGAGGACACCAUACCUGGAUACUGUUUUAUCAGCAAUGGGAUGGUUUGCCGAGAGUGUGGGUGAAAUUCUGGAGUGAGCUUUUAAAAGGUGAUAUUCAAAUAUGGCAUUAAGGGGCAUUAAAAACAGCAGCUGAACCUCUGUUUUGCCUGGUAUAUCUGAAGAAUGAUGGACUGUCCCCUGUGCUUGGAACAUGGAAAAACUGAAAACAUUUUCAUUGCACUGUCUGAAGUGCCUUUGUUUUUCUGAUAACCUUGGCCAAAAAAACAUAAUGUCAUAAAUCUUGCAAAAUAGAGAUUCCUCAGAAGCCUCCCGAAUUGCGUAACCUCAAGUAUUUUGUUUCAGAGUGGAAGCCUCAUGGUCUCAGCCUUACCACCAAGCCUAUGAACUUAGUCCUUUUGUUCCUCUUUGCUUAUUUAAAACAUCUAGAAUACUGUGACUAUCCUGUGCUGUGAGUGCCCCAGGGCUUUCAUUGUCUGGUAUCAAUCUCAGAGGCUUCUGGCUGC